GACAGAGGAUGCAAGCGUUAUCCGGAAUGAUUGGGCGUAAAGCGUCUGUAGGUGGCUUUUUAAGUUCGCCGUCAAAUCCCAGGGCUCAACCCUGGACAGGUGGUGGAAACUACCAAGCUAGAGUACGGUAGGGGCAGAGGGAAUUUCCGGUGGAGCGGUGAAAUGCGUAGAGAUCGGAAAGAACACCAACGGCGAAAGCACUCUGCUGGGCCGACACUGACACUGAGGGACGAAAGCUAGGGGAGCGAAUGGG
RNAcentral lists this ribosomal RNA (253 nucleotides) under uncultured bacterium. RNAcentral's name for it is "partial 16S ribosomal RNA". It matches the Rfam family "Bacterial small subunit ribosomal RNA", at positions 524 to 776 of the family's 1533-position model. The record is from RNAcentral.